UAGAGUUUGAUCCUGGCUCAGAUUGAACGCUGGCGGCAUGCUUUACACAUGCAAGUCGCACGGGUGCGGGGGGCAACUUCUGCAUGAGUGGCGAACGGGUGAGUAAUGCAUCGGAACGUACCGUGCAGUGGGGGAUAACGAGUCGAAAGAUUCGCUAAUACCGCAUACGUCCUGAGGGGGAAAGCGGGGGACCCGCGAGGGCCUCGUGCUAUACGAGCGGCCGAUGUCCGAUUAGCUAGUUGGUGGGGUAAAGGCCUACCAAGGCGACGACCGGUAGCGGGUCCGAGAGGACGGCCCGCCACACUGGGACUGAGACACGGCCCAGACUCCUACGGGAGGCAGCAGUGGGGAAUUUUGGACAAUGGGCGCAAGCCUGAUCCAGCCAUGCCGCGUGAGUGAAGAAGGCCUUCGGGUUGUAAAGCUCUUUCGGCCGGGAAGAAAUCGCGCAGGUAAAUAAUCUGUCUGGAUGACGGUACCGAAGAAGAAGC
Molecule: ribosomal RNA, 488 nt
Filed under: uncultured bacterium
Lineage: Bacteria
Description: bacterial SSU rRNA
Rfam family: Bacterial small subunit ribosomal RNA
Source: RNAcentral